RNAcentral lists this long non-coding RNA (380 nucleotides) under Physcomitrium patens. RNAcentral's name for it is "long non-coding RNA (PPAT_LNC001399)". The record is from RNAcentral. Lineage: Eukaryota; Viridiplantae; Streptophyta; Bryopsida; Funariales; Funariaceae.
UUGAAUUGAUUAGAUUUUGGUUAGAAUUUGAUUUAGAGAUAGGAUUGGAUUAAGAUUUAAGAUUAGAUUAGGAUUUAGGAUUUGAUUAAGGUUAAUUUAGAAUUUAGAAUUGGAUUAGGAUUUAGGAUUUGAUUAAGGUUAAAUUAGAAUUUAGAAUUGGACUAGGAUUUAGAAUUUGAUUAAAGAUUUAUUUAGGAUUUAGGAUUUGAUUAAAGAUUUAUUUAGGAUUUAGGAUUUGAUUUAGGAUUUAUUUAGGAUUUAGGAUUUAGAAUUUGCUUAGGAUAAAGGAUUUGGCUUAGGAUGUGAUUGAAAUCCAUUAAGAUUUCAACUAGAAAUAAAUUAGAAUUUAGUUGAGAUUUAUUUAAGAUAUAUUUUUGAUU